AUUGAACGCUGGCGGAAUGCUUUACACAUGCAAGUCGAACGGUAGAGGGGGCAACCCCUCGAGAGUGGCGAACGGGUGAGUAAUAUAUCGGAACGUGCCCAGUCGUGGGGGAUAACGUAGCGACAGUUACGCUAAUACCGCAUACGAUCUAAGGAUGAAAGCGGGGGAUCGCAAGACCUCGCGCGAUUGGAGCGGGCGAGAUCAGAUUAGGUAGUUGGUGGGGUAAAGGCUCACCAAGCCAACGAUCUGUAGCUGGUCUGAGAGGACGACAAGCCACACUGGAACUGAGACACGGUCCAGACUCCUACGGGAGGCAGCAGUGGGGAAUUUUGGACAAUGGACGCAAGUCUGAUCCAGCCAUUCCGCGUGCAGGAUGAAGGCCCUCGGGUUGUAAACUGCUUUUGUACGGAACGAAAAGGUCUCUCUUAAUACGGGGGACUCAUGACGGUACCGUAAGAAUAAGCACCGGCUAACUACGUGCCAGCCGCCGCCGUAA
This 496-nucleotide ribosomal RNA is filed under the name uncultured bacterium. RNAcentral describes it as "partial 16S ribosomal RNA". It matches the Rfam family "Bacterial small subunit ribosomal RNA", at positions 30 to 523 of the family's 1533-position model. The record is from RNAcentral.